GUUAGGCCCCUCAGAGUUUAGUUCCGGAGAGUAGGUAUCUGGGCAGGGCGAGCUCUCUGAGGACAGGGACUAGCUCCUUUUCUUUGUCUCUCCACAGGGUGGCACAGAGCCUGUAACUGUAAAGCCAUGUUGAUUGAAUAAAACCCUGCCCGGUGCCCCUGACCCCACCCUCAUCAUGGCAGAGGGAGGAUGAGGUCACCACCACUCUGGUCUCCUGGGUGCCUGGACUGGCCUCAGUGUUGCUGACAUCUCUGGGAUUCUCCUAAAUAACAAGAGCAGGACAAGGACAAGAAGGAAGGCACGCUUUGUUGAACACCUACUGUGUGCUGGCUGUUUGUACAUUUGAUCUCAUUUGGUCUUUAUCCUUCAAGGAAAACAGUAGCAUCUAGAUCUUGUCUGCAUGGUAAGGGAGGCCCACAGAACAUGAUUCGAGGGACCGCCCAAAGCCUGGGCUCUCCGACAGCAGUUCCAGAGGUCCCAGGCCCCAGGUCCUAGGUUUGUUGGCAGUGAGCUGGGGAAGAUGUUGACAUCCUGCCUGCCAGUCCUCCACUGAGGCACAGAGGAGCUGCUGGUGCGGGGCAGGAGAGUCUGUGUAGAAUGGUCCUGGAACCCAAGGUGGGAGGCAGAGCUGGGGCACUGGCAGAGGCAGGGCUGGGAAGCAAAGGUGUAGGGGGCAGACUGGGGUCACAUUUCCAGCUUCACAGUCCGUCCUGAACCUUCUCAGCAGGCCUGGCUUGGGCCCAGGUGUCCUGCAUUGGUGCAAGGAAUUCUGCAUGAGCUCCAAGAGCCACCAGCCAGGCUGAGGUCAAGUCUGACUCUGCAAAUGACUAGCAGUGUCAUCCUGGGUGAGUAACCUCCCCCUCUGCACCCCUGUCCCCAUCUGCCUGGUGGGCAUGAGCACACUGGCCUCACAGAGUGUCAUGAGCACUAAGUGGGGCAAAACUCCAGCAGAGAGCAAGUGCCUAGGGAACGCAGGCUGAUUCUCAGGCAUAAUCAAGGGGGCAGUUGGACUCCAGACAUCUCCAAGAUCCUAGGAUUUAAUUCCUUUGACUACAAGACCCCUGAGAAGAGGUAGGUGGGGGUGCAGGUCCUUGUAGAACUGGCUGCUCCCAUCUCUGUGCCUGUCGGUGUACCUGUAACCCUCAUUUACCCACCUGUUGCUCCAGGCAAGUGAGCAGUGUGAGUCCCAGGAGGUCAGGAAGGGUCUACACCACCAGUGUUCCCCGUACCCCCAGCACAGGAAGAUGAUGAGUCAGCCUUGAGGGUAGUGAGUUCCCUGUCCCUGGAAUUAAGAGAAUAGAAGUUAAACUCUUGGCAGGGAGUUGGACAAAGAAUUUCUACUUCGGGUAAGUCUAUAAUGGCCAGACCAGGGAAUGAUGGAGGGAGUGUCCUCUGGUCAUUCUUAGUGGUUUCCCCAGAAUUUCUGAGUAGGAAGAAUUUGAGACUUGUCUUGAAGCUGCAUUUGCAAAAUAAACCUGCUUUUCCUUAGAUUGUCUAUGUGGAAUGGGAAUCCCAGGGCUGCCGGUGACCGUCGGUGGCUGCGGGAAGCAUGUGCUUCUAGAUCGGCCACGAGGGGGCGCCCGAGACUGCAUUCUAGCGAUCCAGCUCCAAAGAGGGUCUGGGCAGAUCCUGGCCUGAGGUCUGAGAACAUGUCUGGGGACAGGAAGAGGGACUCAGAAUUGGAUAGCUGUGUGUGUGGGGCAGGGAGGAAGGGCCAUUCUGCUCCCCACAGAUCACAGGCCUGACAUUUUUUGGUGGCGGGUGAUGGGCACAAGGUGGAAAGUUUUCCUUUAAACAAUGAGUCCAGUUAUUGGAAAAAGU
This 1821-nucleotide long non-coding RNA is filed under the name Equus caballus (horse). RNAcentral describes it as "lncRNA (ENSECAG00000055567.1)". The record is from RNAcentral. Lineage: Eukaryota; Metazoa; Chordata; Mammalia; Perissodactyla; Equidae.